CCUACGGGAGGCAGCAGUGGGGAAUUUUCCGCAAUGGGCGAAAGCCUGACGGAGCAAUACCGCGUGAGGGAGGAAGGCUCUUGGGUUGUAAACCUCUUUUUUCAGGGAAGAUAAUGACGGUACCUGAGGAAUAAGCAUCGGCUAACUCCGUGCCAGCAGCCGCGGUAAUACGGAGGAUGCAAGCGUUAUCCGGAAUGAUUGGGCGUAAAGCGUCCGCAGGUGGUUUUAAAAGUCUGUUGUUAAAGCGUGAGACUUAACCUCAUAAGGGCAAUGGAAACUGUAAGACUAGAGUACGUUCGGGGCAAGGGGAAUUCCCGAGUGUAGCGGUGAAAUGCGUAGAGAUUGGGAAGAACACCGGUGGCGAAAGCGCCUUGCUAGGCCGUAACUGACACUGAGGGACGAAAGCUAGGGGAGCGAAUGGGAUUAGAUACCCCAGUAGUCCUAGCCGUAAACGAUGGAUACUAGGCGUUGUCUGUAUCGACCCGGACAGUGCCGUAGCUAACGCGUUAAGUAUCCCGCCUGGGGAGUACGCACGCAAGUGUGAAACUCAAAGGAAUUGACGG
RNAcentral lists this ribosomal RNA (563 nucleotides) under uncultured bacterium. RNAcentral describes it as "bacterial SSU rRNA". It matches the Rfam family "Bacterial small subunit ribosomal RNA", at positions 338 to 916 of the family's 1533-position model. The record is from RNAcentral.